CGUCAGCUCGGCAUUUGGUUCGUGUUUAGCGGUGGAAGCGGCUCACACCAGCGUCCUUGCUUCAGCGGGAGGACCGGCGGGGCAGCGGUGCUUCGUCUCGCGGCCUCGUUUGUGGAGACUGGUUUUUCAAGUGGCGCCGGCAUUUCGAACAUCAAGUGUGUCUCCGUCAAGCUGUUGUCCAGACCUAUACUAAGCCAUGUGUCCCGUGGUUCUGCUGGCGCUGUUGUUGAGCCUUCUGUUGCUCUUGCUCGAGGUUGUGGCCGCGUUGUCCGUGGCCUUCAACCCAGCGCGCGUGGAGAAGUUGAAACAGGGCAACCUGGCGCGAGUCUCGUUUUCCGCACCCGCUCUGGAGCCACGAUUCUUCAGCGUCGCCUCGGACAAUCCGUAUGUGGCUUCCGUGGUCGAUCUAAAUGUGACUGAAACUGGCGCUUUUGUCAACGGGACGUUUGCCGUGAAGGGGAACUUUCUGGGUCACGCAAAGGUGCGCGUUGUGACCAAUGGCACCGAGUCGAACGAGUUUCUGCCCGUCAGCGUAGUGCGGAAGCAGAACAGACUCUCCUUAAUUUUCACGGUAUCCGUGGCCGUGCUAGUUUCAUUAAACUACAUCAACAUGGGCUGUGCUUUAGACAUGGAAGUUGUGAAAGACGUGCUGCGAAGACCUAUAGGCCCAGUGGUAGGCUUCUUCAGCCAGUAUCUUGCCAUGCCUUUGGUGGCUUAUGGAAUGGCACAGUGGCUUUUCGAAGAGGCUUACCUGCAGCUAGGACUUUUCACAUUUGGCUGUUCCCCUGGUGGAGGAGCUAGCAACAUGUGGACUGUUCUUCUUGGUGGCAACCUGAACUUAAGCAUCGCCAUGACCUUCAUCAGCACCAUUGCUUCUUUGGGCACUAUGCCCCUCUGGCUGUUCACGCUUGGACGCAGCCUGUUCCAGGAGGCAUCACUGCGCAUUCCCUUCCGCAACAUAUUCACCACAUUGGUGUCAAUGACACUGCCACUCGGUGUUGGUCUGGCCCUGCAGCGUUGGCGGCCCAAGGCUGCUGACGUGUGCAAGCGCCUGCUGGCCCCAGUGUCCGUGGCCAUGAUAGUGUACAUAGUUGUGUUUGGCACGUAUGCCAACCUGUACAUGUUCCGGCUGAUGAGCUGGCAAGUACUGUUGGCUGCGGCAGCCAACGUCUGGGUAGGCUUUGCAGUGGGUGCCCUGGCCACCCGGUUUGCAGGCCUCCCAUGGGCUGACGUGCUCGCAGUGUCCAUAGAGACUGGCGUCCAGAACACGGGCAUUGCCAUUGUGUUGCUGGGCUUCUCCCUGCCUCAGCCGGAGGCAGACAUUGCAUCGGUGGUGCCUGUGGCGGCCUCCAUUGUGACCCCCAUCCCACUGCUGCUGCUGCUGCUGGGGCAGAAGGUGUACAGCCGCUGCUGUCGCCGGGCUGACGCAGUGGCCGACGCAAAAGGUGUGGCAGCCUUUGCUGAGGUAGGCGCCGCGGGUGAUGUGGAGGAGAAGCGGGCAUUGACAGUCUGCAAUGGAACAGUGGCCAACGGGAUGCUCGGUGGCGGGAAGGCUGCUGAGGCCAGCUACGGUGACGAUCCUGAGCGGCUGUGAUGUGUUGUUGGUGUGACUUGGUGUCCCUCGCUCUUGUUCCCUGUGCACUUGCUGUGGCCUUGUUUUGUGGGUUGCUUGUCUUUCCAUCCUUUCCCUACAAGCACACGCUUUGAACACUUGGGAGGAGAUUCAGUUGCUUACUACUGACACUGUUGGCCUGCACAAUAUUUUAACCAAUACAGUGUGCCCAAGAGCAAGCUGACAUUAUGAGUCAGAAGUAUUCUCAAUUUUGUGUGUGUGGUGUGUGUUCCUUUUAUGAGUAAAUUCUAUCCAGAGGCAAGAAACGCUUGCUUAUUCUAUUUCAUAUUUAAAUGAGCUUGAGAAAAGGCUUGUGCAUUUAAUCUUCAUACCCCCUUCAGUUUACCACUUAUUCAUUAGCUUCACUAACCUGCUUGCUUUGCCAAAUAUAGGGACACACAUGCUUCCUGGAUGUAGUGAUAAGUUAGGAUAGUAAAAUCUAUUUACUUUUUGAAGCAUGAUAAUGUGAGUAAAAAAAUAAACCAUUUAAGAGCGGGAUGCAGGGCUGAAAGGUAAACUUUUUAACUGACAUGCCAAUUUUAAUGAAAUCUGUCGUGAGGCUUUUUAUUCUUAUCAUUAGAACAUAUAGUAAAUUUGAUUAACCUAGCACAAAUACAAAAAAAAAGUUGUGCAUGUCCCAUUGAGAAAAUGAUUGUGUCAUCUCAUUUAGGACAACUAUCCUUUUAAAAGUUAUUAAGCUAGAUAAGAAUAUUCUGAACAAAUAUCCUCUGGACUCCCUAUAUUACAAGAUAGAAGCAGCUGCUUGUAAUUUUAUGCCUUCUGUAGAGACGGCAUCACCUCAAAGCUCUUAAAUCUAUACUUUUUUUUAUUGAGGCAGUUUAGAAUUUCACGAUGUCCAUAGUCUUGUUCGUAUUACAUAUUUUUCAGCCUAGAAACAAUCUAACAAACAGUUUUUGCCUUUGCAGUUUCAAAACGAUAGUUUUCCUAAAAGUGUGAAUUGGCCCAAAAAGUGAACAGAGAAAAAUCGAUUCAAAGAUCUCAAAACAUGCCAAAACACAUGCAAUUGCUGGGUAAAAAAAGCUGAUUUUAGUCUCUUCUAUCUCUCGGAUAAUAACCAAACUUGGCAAGGAACUUCUUUAUAUGCUUAGAAAUCAAACCAAAAAUUAGGAAAUGUGUAUUUCUGCCGAAAAUUAUGAUUUAGCCCUGCGUCGCCUCUUAAAAAUUGCAAAUUUUUUGUAAACAUUUUUUUUUCUUUUUCUCUUUUUUGUGCAUGCUGCCCACUUGCAUUCAGGAGGAAUGUGUGUUGCUUACAUUGUAAGCGACCUAUUCUGGCCUCUGUUUUUCCUUCGUCCUGGGUGCAGUGGGCUCAGUGCACUUAUUUCUGCUUGAUUUCAAUAUGUACAGCUGACAUGUUUUGGAGAAAAAUAUUUGCAUAUGCAUUUUUAUGCUUCAAUUUAAUGCAGGAGACAUGCUGUUAUGGUGGACCCAAAAGGCAUAUCUUAUAGUGUGUGCCAAACAUUAUUUUAUUAAAAAAAGAGAAGUGACCUGGUAGCUAACAGAAUGCUAUGGCUAGUGUGCAAAAAUGUCACUUUGUCCUAUAAGCCUCCAUACUUCUUUUACAGAGGUCUCUGGAACUUAAAACAAGCCUGGACAGCUUAAUUGGUUCACUGCACUACAAAUAGCUGUCAUGCAUUUUGUUUUGCGACUGUAAAGGAAACAGUUUGACUAUCUGACUUUUAUAAUAUUGCUGACAGCUUUGAAGAAUCUCGUAUCAAUAGGAACCAUUUUAUUUCUUUUUAAUAUAACUAUAAGUGCUUGUGAAAACUCUCAGUACACUGUGAUAGCCUGUUUUGUUCAUAUUUGAUUGCUGGCUCAAGUUUACUUUGUUAUUCAUGGUGCGCCAGGUUUUGACACCAAAUUUAAAUCCAUGCCAGUAGUGCGGUACUUAGCAGUGAUGGCCAACUUUUUCCCACAUGACAAGCCUUUUUCCAGCACUACUUGAGAACUUGUAUAAGAGAUGUGGUGGAGGAUAAACUUGCAUCAUGGUUGCUUUUGCUUGCUGGCUUAUCUUGCAUUGUUCGAACUAACACUGGCUAACAACUAUUGCUUGCAGUGCUCUGUAGCUUGUUUUGUCUUGUGCGGUCUGUUUUCGAUAAUGUUGUCUCUGCAGCCAAAACCUGUCGCAAAAGCACUAUGAGGUCAUUAAAUUAUAUCUGCCAGACCACAUAAUAGAGACAUAAAUGGCUCAUGCUGCCAUUGAAAUGAAAGUAUAUUCGAAAUAACUACUUGUUUAUAUGUAGACGCACAUACAUAUAGUCGCUAAUCAAUUUUUUGGACAUUUCCCGCGGUGUCGCCACCUUCUCCAUAGAACUAAUAUAUGACGACGGCUGAACUUUCGGAUGUUGUAUGGUGUCUUGUGGGGCAUCUCAUUCGGUCUUUCGGACAUGAUUCAUGCAUGCGAUUUUGCAACGACAGUGAAUGGUUGGUACCAUUAAAGUUGCUGCCCAUACCCUUGCUUUUGUUGGCGAGCCUGUUUUACGGCUUUCCAAACGCCUUGCAGUUGCCACUAAUAGUGCUGUGCCGAUUCAGUGCCAAACCAAAACUUUCAUCGACACGCGAUGAAGCAGUGCUCGUUAGGCCUAUGAUCAUGGAAAUGUGGCCGAUUAUCGAAGCUUUCUGGUAAAGUUUUCGUACAAGCGGCUCAUUGGUGAUGAGGCCAGAGAUCACGUGCAUCAGUUAGACUGACAGUUGCAGAAGCCACAUUCAGGUCUUCGAGUGACUAGCCGGCAACUACCGCGAGUGUGUGUGCUUACUAUACGGAAAGGUGUAAGCACUCGUAUGUGUGGACAGCUCCGAACUGAAUAUGUGCAUAACAGGCUAAACUGCUGGGAUUGCACAGACUUGGUCGCAAGCGACAUUUAGGCCGGGUUAAUGUGACGAUUCUAUUCAACUGCACUGCGUAAGUGGUCAAGUGGCGCUCAGCCAGCAUUAUCACCAGGAGUGGCUACUUGUAAAUGGUGGAUAAUAAGAAACAUAAAGAAUGGGAUCGAGCUGAAGAAAUCCUUACAUUAUUCUGACCCUGCGACAGCAUGCAGUGGGGGAACAUGAAACGUAAAUGUUCUGUGGCGAAACAUCUAUGCUGCAUCGACCGUCACAAAUUUUCAAGUAGAUAUUAUUGCACUGAAGCACAACGCCAAGCAGAAGUCUAAACAAAUUUUCUGUGCUGCUGGCAUUGUAAAAAAAAAACAUAAAGAAAAGCUUUUCUCUCUCAAAAUUAGUUUUUUUGGAUUGCCUCAUUAUUAUGACAUUUUACGGCCUCCUCUCGGAGAUGGCUCUACAGGGAGGGUGGCUGAGCCCCCCCAUAUGCCCCCCCCCCCCUCAUCGGCCUCCUCCUGCAACCAUGGGGUGCCAAGUAAUGGAGUACGUUUCCUGCACCCCCAACAGAAAAAUCCUGACAGUACCCCUGCCUCCUCUGUGUCCGAAAAAUUUUUCAGUGGCUGUAGAUAUAUGUAAAAAAAAUCCAGUCUGUCUGUAGAAACUUGCUAGGGAUUAUUCAUCUAUUGGUGGUCGAAGGUGGUUUAAACGCUAAGAUAGUUUUUCUAAUGCGUGUCUCAUGCUACAAUGAAGCAAUCAUUGAUGACCUGCAGCAACAAGGGUAAAAGGUUAGAUAGCUUCUGUUUGAAGACUGCAACGGUAGCAAGUGGCUGUCGAGUUCACUGUUCUGUCGCCAGUAAAAUCCAUACUGGUUAAUGUUCCAUGUGUUGCAAGUCACGAGUGCCUUAGCUCUUGCUCUUUCAAUGAAUGACUGAAUGUGUACCGCUAAAAAAUUACAUUUCCAUUAUCGCUUCUGGAAUGAGAGGUGGGGGGGGGGGGGGGCACUACAAAAUUAUCUUUUUUCCAACCGAUCUUUUUUUUAUCUUCAGGUGCGGUACGACAAGUUGGAUAGUCCGCUACUGUCCGACUGAUUUCAUGGAGCAGGAAACCAGAUACGUGCGGAUUACUGUCUGCCUUAUUUUACUGCUGCUUAGCAUGUUGUUUUGUGGCUCUGCUGACUUACAUUUUCUUUUCCUUUUGUUUUGUCCUUGUGUUAGGUGUGCUGUUGGUCUGAUUGAUUGUUUUGUUUUGUUAUUUGAUUUUAUUAUAGUAUUGAAGUACUGACAUGGAAGCCCGCGAGUGCUACGCAUUAUCUUGUGCAAACAUUAGUAUUUGCAUUCUUAAGAUCUUUGUCAUGUAGCACAGCUUGGCCUCCAUAGAGCCCCUGUUAUUUUUUUUUUUUUUCGCUGUUCUGUGCUUGGAGCUUCACUAACAAAAAGCUUUGUAACACCAUGCUUCUGCAUAGUAGCUUCAAGGAUACGCCAGACAAGCUCUUUAGCUGAUGGCAAGGUGGGAGACCAGAACACAUUUACCUUCUCCUCGGUAACUUUCUCUUGCAAUUUUUUUAUUUAAAUUUUUUUGUGGAAACCCAAAUAUUUUGUCUUCCUCUAUCGGUCUGGAAUCCAGGCAGAUUGCUAAUGCAGUGGGAUGAUCUGGUGCAUGUGAAGAAUGCAGAAAGAAGCUGAAUGACUGCCUUACUAACCAGCCUGUUUUUCUUUUUUUUGUUGUUGUUGUCUGCGUCGGUUUUCUUUGUGUGGCCCUGUCCUUGUUGACUCUCCUAGGGACCAUCUCGUGACUUGGCCUCGCUGCAUGUCCUAGCAGUGGAGCUUGCAGCUGGUCCUUGACAAGUGGUCAACCCUUUUACGCCACCCACUGCAUGGAAGAGGAAUGAGAUUGCCUGACUGCUGGGAUUUAGCCAGUCAACUGGCGCAAUCUACCUUUCCAUAUAAAGCCUUUUGUAGGAUCUGUUAGCUCCUUGCUUCUCAAUGCUUGCAUGUUUGCUAACCUUACAUGUAAAAUGGGUUUUAGAGCUCUGUUUCUGUUGUUGUGGUUAUUGAAAGGAGUUAUUGCAGUAUGCUCUACAUUGUGCUGCGCUGUGAAUUCAAGUGUUUGGCUUGUUCUGAGCCCUCUAUGAUGUUUCCAGGUGAUACUUUGAACACUUUUCAUUGCCUUGUGUCAUUGGUGUUCACAGCAUUGCUCUUCCAUUUGUCGGAAUCAUGGUGAUAAGCGAAUAUCAAGGGCCAUCGUAUAGUUUUACUUCUAUAAACACUGUUCUUGUGGCCUCUGUUCUUAGCUUCUUGCACACUUCAGGAGUGGUGCUUGUUAAAGGCUGUUGUUUAACGAAUUGACUUCAGACUGGUUAAUACUGUCAUUUAGAAACAAAUCAUCUCAAAGGUGUUCUCAUUUGUGCAAUCAGUUCAUAUGGCUUGCAUUCUUCAGCUGGGAGUGUUUUCAUUGUUGGAUGUGGCAUCAUUUCCUUUGGUAAGCUAAGCUACAAGGAAUGCACAACUGUGAUUGGUACUUAAACAUUUGGCUGGUGAUCUUUUUAAAGUGGCCCAUCUGUACUGAUAACUAUUAAGAAGCACAGAAAGUAUUUUUGAUGCUUUAGGGUGACCAGAAGUGUGUUUAUUAUGUCUGUGUCACUGUAGCCCAAUGUUCAAACAAAUUAUUUAGAUGCAUACUUUCCUGUUACAAAAACAAAUAAACUAGCAUAAGCAAAUGUG
RNA transcript from Dermacentor silvarum, 7170 nucleotides. It is a transcript of the gene named P3 protein, with no coding region annotated. NCBI's taxonomy places the organism in Eukaryota, Metazoa, Arthropoda, Arachnida, Ixodida, Ixodidae. The record is from RefSeq and is a predicted model, not a curated record. The transcript is spliced from 4 exons.